This 59-nucleotide microRNA precursor is filed under the name Petromyzon marinus (sea lamprey). RNAcentral's name for it is "Pma-Mir-124-o2_pre stem-loop". It matches the Rfam family "mir-124 microRNA precursor family", at positions 8 to 66 of the family's 72-position model. From Rfam's summary of the family: The mature ~21nt miRNAs are processed from hairpin precursor sequences represented here, in this case originating from the 3' arm. The bounds of the precursors are predicted based on conservation and base pairing and are not generally known. Lineage: Eukaryota; Metazoa; Chordata; Hyperoartia; Petromyzontiformes; Petromyzontidae. The record is from RNAcentral.
CGUGUUCACGGCGGACCUUGAUUUAAUGACAAACAAUUAAGGCACGCGGUGAAUGCCAA